This 213-nucleotide unclassified non-coding RNA is filed under the name plant metagenome. Its description in RNAcentral is "partial contains small subunit ribosomal RNA, internal transcribed spacer 1, and 5.8S ribosomal RNA". The record is from RNAcentral.
UUUCCGUAGGUGAACCUGCGGAAGGAUCAUUCAUAAUAAGUGUUUUAGGGCACUUUUUUAAAUCCAUAUCCACCUUGUGUGCAAUGUCAGGGUUGAGUUUUCUCUCGAGAGGAACAGCCGCAAACAUCAACUAUAUUUGAACUCUUUGUCUUACAAAUAUUAUGAAUAAAACAAUUCAAAAUACAACUUUCAACAACGGAUCUCUUGGCUCUC